GCCUACGGGAGGCAGCGGUGGGGAAUAUUGCGCAAUGGGCGAAAGCCUGACGCAGCGACGCCGCGUGAGGGAUGAAGGUCUUCGGAUCGUAAACCUCUGUCCGCAGGGAAGAACGGUCACUGUGCUAAUCAGCAGUGAAUUGACGGUACCUGCAAAGGAGGCACCGGCUAACUCCGUGCCAGCAGCCGCGGUAAUACGGAGGGUGCGAGCGUUAAUCGGAAUUACUGGGCGUAAAGCGCUCGUAGGCGGUAUGUCAAGUCAAGGGUGAAAUCCCCGCGCUCAACGUGGGAACUGCCUUUGAAACU
This 305-nucleotide ribosomal RNA is filed under the name uncultured bacterium. Its description in RNAcentral is "bacterial SSU rRNA". It matches the Rfam family "Bacterial small subunit ribosomal RNA", at positions 337 to 634 of the family's 1533-position model. The record is from RNAcentral.